UGAACGCUAGCGGCAGGCCUAACACAUGCAAGUCGAGGGGUAACAGGGAAGUUCGCUUCCGCUGACGACCGGCGCACGGGUGAGUAUCGCGUUUGUAACCUACCUUUAACUGGAAGAUAGCCCGAAGAAAUUCGGAUUAAUACUCCAUAACACUAUAGUUUGGCAUCAUUUUAUAGUUAAAGCUCCGGCGGUUAAAGAUGGGCAUGCGUAACAUUAGCUAGUUGGUGAGGUAAGAGCUCACCAAGGCUACGAUGUUUAGGGGGUCUGAGAGGAUGGUCCCCCACACUGGUACUGAGACACGGACCAGACUCCUACGGGAGGCAGCAGUGAGGAAUAUUGGUCAAUGGGCGAAAGCCUGAACCAGCCAUGCCGCGUGAAGGAUGACGGCGCUACGCGUUGUAAACUUCUUUUAUACGAGAAGAAACCACUCUACGUGUAGAGUGCUGACGGUAUCGUAUGAAUAAGCAUCGGCUAACUCC
RNAcentral lists this ribosomal RNA (479 nucleotides) under uncultured bacterium. RNAcentral's name for it is "bacterial SSU rRNA". It matches the Rfam family "Bacterial small subunit ribosomal RNA", at positions 30 to 504 of the family's 1533-position model. The record is from RNAcentral.